RNAcentral lists this ribosomal RNA (468 nucleotides) under uncultured bacterium. RNAcentral's name for it is "partial 16S ribosomal RNA". It matches the Rfam family "Bacterial small subunit ribosomal RNA", at positions 28 to 507 of the family's 1533-position model. The record is from RNAcentral.
GACGAACGCUGGCGGCGUGCUUAACACAUGCAAGUCGAACGGAAAGGCCCUGCUUUUGUGGGGUGCUCGAGUGGCGCACGGGUGAGUAACACGUGAGUAACCUGCCCUUGACUUUGGGAUAACUUCAGGAAACUGGGGCUAAUACCGGAUAGGAGCUCCUGCUGCAUGGUGGGGGUUGGAAAGUUUCGGCGGUUGGGGCUGGUCUCGCGGCUUAUCCGCUUGUUGGUGGGGUAGUGGCUUACCAAGGCUUUGACGGGUAGCCGGCCUGAGAGGGGGACCGGCCACAUUGGGACUGAGAGACGGACCAGACGCCUACGGGAGGCAGCAGGGGGGAGUAUUGCACAAUGGGCGGAAGCCAGAGGCAGCAACGCCGCGUGCGGGAUGACGGCCUUCGGGUUGUAAACCGCUUUCGCCGGUGACGAAGCGUGAGUGACGGUAAUGAGUAAAGAAGCACCGGCUAACUACGUG